AGCGUAUAUUAAAGUUGUUGCAGUUAAAAAGCUCGUAGUUGAAUUUCGGGAUCAAUACGUCGGUCGUGCUUCGGUACGUACUGGCGUCAUUGAUUUCUCCCUUCUGACGAACCAUGAUGUCAUUAACUUGGUGUCUUGGGAAAUCAGGACUGUUACUUUGAAAAAAUUAGAGUGUUUAAAGCAGGCUCACGCUUGAAUACAUUAGCAUGGAAUAAUGAAAUAGGACGUUCGAUCCUAUUUUGUUGGUUUUAGGAUCAACGUAAUGAUUAAUAGGGAUAGUUGGGGGCAUUAGUAUUCAAUUGUCAGAGGUGAAAUUCUUGGAUUUAUUGAAGACUAACUACUGCGAAAGCAUUUGCCAAGGAUGUUUUCAUUAAUCAAGAACGAAAGUUAGGGGAUCGAAGACGAUCAGAUACCGUCGUAGUCUUAACCAUAAACUAUGCCGACUAGGGAUCGGAUGAUGUUAAUUUUUUAAUGACUCAUUC
Molecule: ribosomal RNA, 482 nt
Filed under: uncultured Glomeromycotina
Lineage: Eukaryota; Fungi; Glomeromycota
Description: SSU rRNA
Rfam family: Eukaryotic small subunit ribosomal RNA
Source: RNAcentral